Molecule: non-coding RNA, 572 nt
Organism: Pelobates cultripes (western spadefoot toad)
Lineage: Eukaryota; Metazoa; Chordata; Amphibia; Anura; Pelobatidae
Source: the annotation of a GenBank genome assembly
CUCAGCGGUGUUUGGGCGUCAAGUGUCUGGAACUCAAAUCGGACACUCAAUUACCUGAACACCGCUGAGACCUCCAGAGCUCCAUAACUCCCGAACGGAGAGGCUAAUCAGCCCCCCGUUCGGUGAGUUAAAAAUACCGAACAAGGGAAUUCAUGCGAAUACAAGAUUAAUAGUGGAUGGCAUGUAGUUAUGUGUAUUUUACCUCCUGAACGGAAACCAACCGCAGGGCCAAAACCCAUGGAACCCAUGGAACCCAUGGAACCCUUUUGGCUACCACCUCGUCAAAUUGUCUCUUCCACCUAACUCCCGAACCCCUGGUUUGAUCUGGGUGAAUUUUGGAUAUGUUUGUCACCCAGAUCAGGGCUACCAGGGGGUGCAACUUAGCCCAUUGUACCUAACUGUUUUGGGGUACAUCCAGAAUUCGGGGAAAAGUACAGCAUGAUUAAUGGGAUUAUGUGUCACACUGAGGGGAGGACAUGUGUGGAAAGUAACUGUGACAUUAUUGUAAUUAUUGACAUUAUUGAAAGUAACUUAAUUAUGAUGAAUCCCUCCCUUGCGUGGGAGAAUGCUUU